GCGACCACAGCACCCCGAACGCACCCCCUCUCAGCUCAUCUCAGAAGCUAAGCGGGGUUGGGCCUGCUGAGUAGCUGCAUGGGAGAAGAGCAGGUGUCCAAAGCC
Molecule: ribosomal RNA, 105 nt
Organism: Ochotona princeps (American pika)
Lineage: Eukaryota; Metazoa; Chordata; Mammalia; Lagomorpha; Ochotonidae
Source: Ensembl